AUGCUCUGUUUGGUCUCUUCUUCGAACGUCCCCCUCGCCUUUUACUAGGGAGACCCGGGGACCAGGCAGGCUAAAGCAUGACUCCAAUCUUUCGUGAUCACCCUCGGGUGGGA
This 113-nucleotide small nuclear RNA is filed under the name Puccinia triticina 1-1 BBBD Race 1. RNAcentral describes it as "U5 spliceosomal RNA". It matches the Rfam family "U5 spliceosomal RNA". Rfam says of the family: U5 RNA is a component of both types of known spliceosome. The precise function of this molecule is unknown, though it is known that the 5' loop is required for splice site selection and p220 binding, and that both the 3' stem-loop and the Sm site are important for Sm protein binding and cap methylation. Lineage: Eukaryota; Fungi; Basidiomycota; Pucciniomycetes; Pucciniales; Pucciniaceae. The record is from Rfam by way of RNAcentral.